UCAAUAGACCAUAGUUAAACUUUGAUUACAUUUACUACUUUGUAAGAAGACAAUGAAAACCCUUAUCCCAAUGACCCAAACUGAGACAGCAGCAUGGGGCCAUGACUCACCUUGGGCUCUCUCCUGCCACCACCGCCAGAGGAGGGGUCUCGGCCCCACGCAGCCUGGCCUGGCCUUCGGCUUCCACCCUAUAAGGGAGACCCAAGAGACAAGGUGACACCCACAGUGAGACGCCAUCGACUGGGCUCCUCGGGCAGUCGGCGCUGCCCCGUUGGGCUCGAGGAUGGAAAGGCAGGAAGAGAAAGGCAUUCCUCCCCGCACGGCCACUGGGCAACCCAAGGGGCCCGCCCCACCCAACGAGGCCUCGCCAUCCCUCGGGGAGCCUCUAGGACCCGUCCCCUGGCUUUCGGUCUCUCUGGGCCGCGGAGGACCAGCUGGGCCCCUGUGCAGGACGUCCAAGAGACCUUCCUAGCCAGAGCUGUCCCAUCCCUGGGACGCCAGAGCCCUUCUGGACUGCUGGCCUCGCCCGCAUCUGCCGCCCACCCUCCACCAGCCCCUCGCACUGCCCUGCCCAGCCCAGCCCCGACAAGCCCUGGGAUGCUGCUCACACUGGCCUUCUGGAUCCAGAGACAACGCUGCCAUCCUCGCCUGCUCAUCCAGGAAGGAGCCUGCCUUCGGGUCCGGCGGCUGCACACUGAGGAGUACAAAGCCAAGAGCAGGAGACCCAAUGGCACAGCCAUUCUCCAGGCUCGCGGCUUCCACACACACACCUGGCCAUAGCCUGGCAUGCGGCAUACCAUGGGGGUCACCAAGGACCUGGCAAAUGCCUUCACUCCCUUUCUCUCUAGAUUCAGUUCUCUGAUACUGCCGGACGGGUGCUCACAUUUUCCCAUUGGGCUAACACCAGGAAAACGCUGGAAUGCCCGUGCUCUGUCAGUCACCCUCGUCGUUUCCUGACCUCGGCCUAUUGGGUCACUGCUUUGUGGACAUUGAACCAGAUUCCUCCUUCAGUGGACCUCGGAGUUUCAGACAGGUUUUCAUCGUACAGGACGCAUAUGCCACCAGGAGUCAUCUUCAAUCCAAUACUGUCCCUCCUGCGUUCCUUUAGCUUGACCUUCUUUGUUGAUCAAUUUAUUAAAGGGCUGGGUAAGAUAUCAAUACCCUACCUGAACUUCCAGGGGUCCGUGGGAUGGGAAGGUCUCAUGAUACCUGUCACCAUGGACUGUGCAAUUUGGUCUUGCCUUUACUCCCUCUCCCUUUCGUUUCCUUUUCU
This 1273-nucleotide long non-coding RNA is filed under the name Sus scrofa (pig). RNAcentral's name for it is "lncRNA (ENSSSCG00045016644.1)". Lineage: Eukaryota; Metazoa; Chordata; Mammalia; Artiodactyla; Suidae. The record is from RNAcentral.